ACGUGUGGUACUGGAUGGUCCCUUCUGGCCACAUGCUGUGGGCACAGUGGAGAGAUGGAAAUGAGACUCCUGCUGCUCUUCAGGAAGACACGAAGAUACAUCCUCAUAGGAGUCAGAAUUCCCGGCUGCCACAGUGAAAAGAAACUCUUCCUUAUGACAGGCCUGCUGUCUUUCCUUGGAUGGGACUGGAUUAACUUGGAGAAGGAAUGCGGUAAUGAAGCAGAAGAAUUUUCCAGCAAAGCUUCAGCAGAUUCAAGACCUGGUUUGGGUGGUUCACUGAGGAUAGGAUCAAUGGUACCUUUACCUAAUCUCAGUACAAGCACCUUGGGGACUUCCUUGCUUGCUUGUUUUAGUUGAGGAAGUCAAGGAAGCUUGAACCCUAUACAACUGAGGUGAUUUGCCCAAAAUCUCACUGUGUAGCCUCCCACAUUUUCUGACUUGGCGCAACUGUUGUCAUCUAAGUGGGGCCUUCAGUGUUUUAGCUCAAAAACUGGCUGGACAGCAGCAACAUUUUUCUCAGGCGAUGCUAGAGCUGGCCCUAUUCUGUCUCCAUGGGAGGGUCCCAGCCAGAGGGAUCUGUCUCACCUGGUUUUCAAACAGGUCACUUGAAAAUUUCAGCUGGGCAUCUGGGACCUGCUUCCUCACGCCCAACUCUUCCGUCAGGGUAUAGCUCACAGGGCGUCUGGCUCCUAGACAAGGCCUGGGUGCGGCCUCUAACUGGCCACAGUCAUCUCCCUUUCAAGACUCACCAGGAGAAGGGACCCUGGGGGCUGGCUGGAACCUCUGGGGCUGGUAUGGUCAGGCUGGCACCCUCAGUGGUUGAGGAGGCUUCUGGGACAUGGGGACUCGGUGACAAGCUACUUAGCUGUCUCAUUCGCAAGAGAAUGAGAGCCUCAGGGAGCUGGGAGCUGCUGGGAUCACCUCCAGUAGGGUAGCUGGGCAGACAAGAAUGCAGCUUGUGCCUUCCUUGGAAUAUUCUGGGAAAUGCUGCUUUAAUCUGCACGAGAGAAAUGCCUCUUUGGCCUAAUGCAGACAGCAGGCUGGAAAGAGGAUUUUAUCAAAGGUGAGCGUGGAAGAGUCUCACCCCAGAAGAGUCCAGCGCUGUGAGCCAGAGGAAGAGCGCAGAAUGAGAGACACCUGCACGGAAGAGGAAGUAAGGCCCCGAGGGGACUGAGAACCCCAAAGCUGCACCCAGGAGUCUUCCCCAUGCAAAAUGACUGGGUUUGGUUCUUUUGUAGAGACUCAAAGGACUAUCAACCUGUGAAACCAGUUUUGAUGGCUUCUGGGGUUUUUUUGGUUUUGUUUUGGAGUCACACCCAUUGGUCCUGGGGUGGGUGGGGGCUGUUCCAGGCUCGUUGCUGGGGGAGUCCGGCUGUGCCAGGGAGUGAACCACGGCUUCCAGCAUGCAAAGCCAGCAGCCCUUUGAGCUAUUCCUCCCGGGCGCCAAGCUUCUGGGUUCUUUUGUUUAGCCCAGGGUUUACCCUGGGCUCUGUGCUCAGGGGCCACUCCUGGCAGGCUCAGGGGACCAUAUUGGGUGCUGGGGAUUGAAUCUGGGUUGGUCCUGUGCAAAGGGCCCUACCUGCUGUACUGUCUCUCUGACCCCCACUUCUGGGUGCUUUAGACCUCUCUUCAGGGACCUGCAAACUAAGACCCCCUGGGCCAAAUCUGGCCCACUGAUUGUUUUUGUAAAUAAACUUUUGCUGGAAGUUAACUGCUCCUUUA
Long non-coding RNA from Sorex araneus (European shrew), 1722 nucleotides. RefSeq lists it as uncharacterized. The transcript is spliced from 2 exons. Lineage: Eukaryota; Metazoa; Chordata; Mammalia; Eulipotyphla; Soricidae. The record is from RefSeq and is a predicted model, not a curated record.